UUUCUUUAACAAAAGCAUCUAGUGUAGUUUCUUAUUUUUUGCACAUAUUGCACGAAUAUAUGUGCAUACUUUAUGUAUCAAUUUGUGAGCGAAAACCAUUUGAACAUCAAACAAAAAUAUAGUUAAUUAUCUGAAUCAAUUAUUCAAGCUCGGGUUUUACUGGCAUUAUUUGAAGACUUCGCGAAAAGAUAUUAUAACUUUAAUGUCCAGGUAGGUUAGGUUUUUCCUAUUUUUAGAUUGAGCUUAAUUACUGAAAAUGUAAACUAUUAUGUUAGCCUUGGAUAAAUUCUUUUAGAUGAGUAUUUUUUAUAUAUAUAUAAAUUGUCUAAUUUAUCUGGAUUAGGACCUUGUUUUAGUAAAUUUUUUUGGAAAAAUUAUUUUUUAAAUAAUAUAACAUCUAUCACUUUGGGAUGUAAAAUUAAAUUGCAAAAUUUUGAAUUUAUACCUUUUAAAUUAAGGUUAACGGAUGAUUAUUUAGACAUUGAUAUUGUUAUGAUAUGGUAUGAAUUUUAAUAUUGUUGAUGGGUAUGGUUACUAUGAGUUCCGGUUCGAGUCCGGUAAUAGACUAUUAUGGUUACUAUGAGUUUCGGUUCGAGUCCGGUAAUUGAUUAUUAUGGCUACUAUGAGUUUCGGUUCGAGUCCGGCAAUAGACUAUUAUGAUUACUAUAAGUUUCGGUUCGAAUCCAGUAAUAGAUCAUUAUGAUUACUAUGAGUUUCGGUCCGAUUCCGGUAAUUGAUCAUUAAGGCUACUAUGAGUUCCGGUUCGAGUCCAGUAAUUGAUUAUUAUGGCUACUAUGAGUUCUGGUUCGAGUCCGACAAUUGAUUAUUAUGGUUACUGUGAGUUUCGGUUCGAGUCCGACAUCUGAUUACGGUUGUGGUUACUUAAGUUUCGGUUCGAGUUCGGCAUCUGAUUAUGAAUUUCGGUGUACAUCUGGAUGACUAUCAUGAUUUAUUGAAACCAGUGCAGUUAUAGAUUAUUUAUGUUUAUUUCCAUUACCUGUGUGUUCCACCGGCUUAUGGGGGUAUGGUUGGGUUAGUUGUUUUCUUCAGUGUGUCUAGAGGGCUAAUGGAGGCCCAGAUAGGUUAUGUUUGAUUUAUCUUUUAUUUUUGCAUUAUUUACUUUCUGUAUUGCUUAUGUUUAUUCCUUUACGGUCGUUGCGUAGCUUGGUAGUUGUUUCGUUUUCCAUCCCUAUUUACUAAUGACUCAGAGUACGCCCUGGUAUUGUAGUUAUACCCUUUUUGUAUUGAGCUUAGUUGGUCGACGAUGCCUACUGAGUACCCAUUGUUUUGGCACUCAUGCUACAUUUCUGCAUUUUUUCCUGAUGCAGAUUCGGGUACUAGCAGUCGAUGUUGACGAGAUUCCUACCUUUCAAUAUUGAUUCAGAGCAAGCUGAGUUCGUUGUCGACCGAGGUUGAUCCUCCUCUAUCUACUCUAGUUAGUCUUUCGCACUUGAGACUGCUUGUGUAUAUUGUGUACAUUUUAGAUUUUUGUCUAGUACUUUUGGUAUCUGUUAGUAGUGGGUCUAGUACUGACUUUAUCAGGUCGUUGGUCCUUUUUCUUCAUCUCCUUUGAUAUAAUAUAUGUGCUCCCUUCUUAGUUUUCUCUUAUUGUUUUUGUUCUUGUCAUUACACGUAAUAUUUUCUUUGGUCUCUGUCUGUUAGCCCGUUACCUAUCAUUUCGAACUAUGGCUUGGCUUGCCUACUGAUGGGUUAAAGUAGGUGCCAUCACGACCUGAGAAAUCGGAUCGUGACAUUAGUUGAGGUACAUAUAAACUUUUACAUACAAACUUUUCCAACACCAUCUCAUAAGGAGAAUAUAAACCACAACAUCUUAAUUGUGAAAUUGCAGAUUAGCUAGGAGAAAAUUCUGACAGUUGUGAAAUCAAAAAUAAAAACUAUUUCUAUUAAUUUCAUAUAAGACAAUUUGCAUACACAAUAUACCCAAUUCAUAAAACUUUUGCCAUGAAGCUAAAUAAAACAUAAUGCACCAACUUGUUUUAGAGGUACGAGUUGUAUUUCAACUUUCAACCACUAACAACAACAAAAGUUAUAUUUUAACUUAACCCGCACACUAACAACAACAAAAGUUAUAUUUCAACUUCAACGACAAACACACAAAAUUUAUGAAGUCUAAUUUAUAUGCAUGUCAUUAAAAAUAGAAAAAAUAAUUCAUUAUCAACAUUAUUGCAUUAAAAUACAGAAAAAAUAUAAAUAAUUUAUGAUUUCUUUGUGUCAACCUUAUUAUCACCAACUUUGCCAACACUCACAUUGCACUUGGAUCUUCUAACUUUAGCAUUUUUAUAAUUUUUUAUUUUUAAUUUUUUCGUUUUAUGAGCGAAAAUUUCAUCUUCAAAAUCAGAAUCUGAAGCUUGUUCAACAACCACCUUUUUUCUCUUAUCAACCAUCUUAUAUUUUGAAAUAACAAUCUUUUUUGACACUAAAUAACUUUGCAUGUUGAGUUGUGAUUGCUUCAAGGCUGGUGAAUUUUUUGAAAAAUCAAUUCUGACCGAUAAAAUUUCAUUUUGAUUAUGCCAAAUAGACUACCUUGCAUUACCUUCUUCUUUUCCUUUGAUAAUAAAGAAGGGGUAUAACACCACAAAUCAAACGAGGAUAUAGAUAGAACAAACGAACUAUUUUCUUAUAUUAAUCUAGGGCUUUUUCUAUUAAAAGUUGUAUCAAAUUUGUAUUUUUCUGAUAUGUCUCAAGAAAAAAAAUAAUAAAGUGAAAAAUUCUUAAUCCAAGCAUAUGAGGAAACCCAAGUUUUAUAUGCAUGAAACUCAAAAGAAGAUGAAAAAGUUAAGAGUUAAAGACUUUUAUCGGGAAACAAAUACGGUAAAAUGUGAUAAAGUAUAGAAAGUAAGUUAAUGGAAAAAUGGUUCAUAAGACCUAUGUACCAUAUCGGUUUUGUAAGUUGAAUACUUCUACUUAUAUGUUUGUCAUCUGAACCCUUGAACCCAGUAAAAAGCAACAUUUUAAACUCUUUGAUCGUUGAUCUUACCUAUGUGGCAUUGAAAUGCUGAUUAGGACAAAAAAAGUGUAGUCACUCGCUUGGGGUGCGAGUGCGGGUCAAUUUUUGGACAAUUUUAUAUUAAAAUAAUUUUUAAAAAUUUUUAAAAAAUAAUAUUAAAAUUAAAAAAAGGAUUUUUUCCUCCAAUUUUUUUAAUUUAAAAAUAUUUUUUAAAAAUUUAAAAUAAUAAAUUUAGUUUCUUUCCCACCCCAACCCGUCCCCACACUCCAGCCCAGCCCCUCCAUCCCCAAACCCUGCACAUAGUAGGAGCCUUAAUGCACCGGGAUGCUCUUUUUUCACUUUAAUGAUGCGCUCGCCAUAUUUUUCAAAAAAAUAUAUUUAUCAUAUUUGUCUCCAAUAAUAUAACUUGCCAUAAUCAUCAAAAGAUUUUAAUGAAGAGUGAUAAAUGUUAAAUGUUAUAAAUAAGGAAAUAAUAUAAAUAAUAAAUAUUAGAAAAAUGAUUUUAUGAUAUCUAACUUGUAAUUAUUUCUUUAAUCUAGUAAUUAUUGAAAAUUUUUGCUAAUAAACAAUCUAAUAAGUUUAUUUAGGAUAAUUUUCA
RNAcentral lists this long non-coding RNA (3566 nucleotides) under Capsicum annuum. RNAcentral describes it as "long non-coding RNA (CANN_LNC013059)". Lineage: Eukaryota; Viridiplantae; Streptophyta; Magnoliopsida; Solanales; Solanaceae. The record is from RNAcentral.